GACGAACGCUGGCGGCGUGCUUAACACAUGCAAGUCGAACGGAAAGGCCCUGCUUUUGUGGGGUGCUCGAGUGGCGAACGGGUGAGUAACACGUGAGUAACCUGCCCUUGACUUUGGGAUAACUUCAGGAAACUGGGGCUAAUACCGGAUAGGAGCUCCUGCUGCAUGGUGGGGGUUGGAAGGUUUCGGCGGUUGGGGAUGGACUCGCGGCUUAUCAGCUUGUUGGUGGGGUAGUGGCUUACCAAGGCUUUGACGGGUAGCCGGCCUGAGAGGGUGACCGGCCACAUUGGGCCUGAGAUACGGCACAGACUCCUACGGGAGGCAGCAGUGGGGAAGAUUGCACAAUGGGCGGAAGCCUGAUGCAGCAACGCCGCGUGCGGGAUGACGGCCUUCGGGUUGUAAACCGCUUUCGCCUGUGACGAAGCGUGAGUGACGGUAAUGGGUAAAGAAGCACCGGCUAACUACGUG
RNAcentral lists this ribosomal RNA (468 nucleotides) under uncultured bacterium. RNAcentral's name for it is "partial 16S ribosomal RNA". It matches the Rfam family "Bacterial small subunit ribosomal RNA", at positions 28 to 507 of the family's 1533-position model. The record is from RNAcentral.